RNAcentral lists this transfer RNA (73 nucleotides) under Felis catus (domestic cat). It matches the Rfam family "tRNA". From Rfam's summary of the family: Transfer RNA (tRNA) molecules are approximately 80 nucleotides in length. Their secondary structure includes four short double-helical elements and three loops (D, anti-codon, and T loops). Further hydrogen bonds mediate the characteristic L-shaped molecular structure. tRNAs have two regions of fundamental functional importance: the anti-codon, which is responsible for specific mRNA codon recognition, and the 3' end, to which the tRNAs corresponding amino acid is attached (by aminoacyl-tRNA synthetases). tRNAs cope with the degeneracy of the genetic code in two manners: having more than one tRNA (with a specific anti-codon) for a particular amino acid; and 'wobble' base-pairing, i.e. permitting non-standard base-pairing at the 3rd anti-codon position. RNAcentral also lists the same sequence under 1 other name. The record is from Rfam by way of RNAcentral. Lineage: Eukaryota; Metazoa; Chordata; Mammalia; Carnivora; Felidae.
GCCUGGCUGGCUCAGUCGGUACAGCAUGCGACUCUUGACCUCGGGGUCAUGAGUUCAAAACCCAUGUUGGGCA